Molecule: unclassified non-coding RNA, 207 nt
Filed under: Hevea brasiliensis (rubber tree)
Lineage: Eukaryota; Viridiplantae; Streptophyta; Magnoliopsida; Malpighiales; Euphorbiaceae
Source: RNAcentral
GGGGACCUUUGGCCAUGUUUAUCUUGGAUUUAACAGUGAUAGCGGGCAAAUGUGUGCAAUUAAAGAGGUCAAAGUCAUCUCGGAUGACUCAAACUCUAGGGAAUCUCUCAAGCAGCUAAGCCAGGAGAUCACUUUGCUUAGCCAGCUCUCGCAUCCAACAUCGUGCAGUACCAUGGCAGCGAGCUGGACGAAGACACUCUUUCCGUG